This 2067-nucleotide ribosomal RNA is filed under the name human gut metagenome. RNAcentral's name for it is "bacterial LSU rRNA". It matches the Rfam family "Bacterial large subunit ribosomal RNA", at positions 829 to 2925 of the family's 2925-position model. The record is from RNAcentral.
CCAAUCGAACCCGGAGAUAGCUGGUUCUCCUCGAAAUAGCUUUAGGGCUAGCCUCAUGAGAGUCUUAUGGAGGUAGAGCACUGAAUUGCCUAGGGGGCGUCAAAGCUUACCAAAGCAUAUCAAACUCCGAAUGCCAUCAAGAUGAUUCAUGGGAGUCAGACCAUACGAGAUAAGUUGGAUGGUCAAAAGGGAAAGAGCCCAGACCUACAGCUAAGGUCCCAAAGUGCGUGUUAAGUGGAAAAGGAUGUGGGGAUUCUAAGACAACUAGGACGUUGGCUUAGAAGCAGCCAUUCAUUGAAAGAGUGCGUAAUAGCUCACUAGUCGAGAGUCCCUGCGCCGAAAAUGUCCGGGGCUGAAACACGACACCGAAGCUUAGGAAUGUGUAAACAUUGGUAGAGGAGCAUUGCUAGCGGGAUGAAGCCAUACCGUAAGGAGUGGUGGACUGCUAGGAAGAGAGAAUGCCGGAAUGAGUAGCGAGAUGAAGGUGAGAAUCCUUCAGGCCGAAUAUCUAAGGUUUCCAGAGUAAAGCUGAUCUGCUCUGGGUAAGUCGGGACCUAAGGCGAGGUCGAAAGACGUAGUCGAUGGAUAACAGGUUGAAAUUCCUGUACUAUCCUGUAACAGAACUGUGGGGACACAGGCAGAGAGCGUGAGCCGGGAAUGGAAAGACCGGUACAAGCGAGGUAGGAGAAGAGCUGGCAAAUCCGCUCUUCAAUCUGAAGACGUGAUGUGGACCGAAAAGAAGUAGGGAAGCACGUGAGCUGACUGUCAAGAAAAGCCGCUAUUGUUUGCAGGAUACCCGUACCGUAAACCGACACAGGUGGAUGAGGAGAGAAUCCUAAGGCCGACGGGAGAAGCAUUGUUAAGGAACUCGGCAAAAUGACUCCGUAACUUCGGGAGAAGGAGUGCCAGUAAGAUGGCCGCAGAGAAUUGGCCCAAGCAACUGUUUAGCAAAAACACAGGUCUAUGCAAAACCGAAAGGUGAGGUAUAUGGGCUGACGCCUGCCCGGUGCUGGAAGGUUAAGGGGAGAGGUUAGCGCAAGCGAAGCUUUGAACUUAAGCCCCAGUAAACGGCGGCCGUAACUAUAACGGUCCUAAGGUAGCGAAAUUCCUUGUCGGGUAAGUUCCGACCCGCACGAAAGGCGUAAUGAUUUGGGCACUGUCUCAACGAGAGACUCGGUGAAAUUUUAGUACCUGUGAAGAUGCAGGUUACCCGCGACAGGACGGAAAGACCCCAUGGAGCUUUACUGCAGUUUGAUAUUGAGUAUCUGUACCACAUGUACAGGAUAGGUAGGAGCCUAUGACCUCGGGACGCCAGUUUCGAGUGAGGCGUUGUUGGGAUACUACCCUUGUGUUAUGGCUACUCUAACCCAGAUAGGUUAUCCCUAUCGGAGACAGUGUCUGACGGGCAGUUUGACUGGGGCGGUCGCCUCCUAAAAGGUAACGGAGGCGCCCAAAGGUUCCCUCAGAAUGGUUGGAAAUCAUUCGCAGAGUGUAAAGGUAUAAGGGAGCUUGACUGCGAGAGCUACAACUCGAGCAGGGACGAAAGUCGGGCUUAGUGAUCCGGUGGUUCCGUAUGGAAGGGCCAUCGCUCAACGGAUAAAAGCUACCCUGGGGAUAACAGGCUUAUCUCCCCCAAGAGUUCACAUCGACGGGGAGGUUUGGCACCUCGAUGUCGGCUCAUCGCAUCCUGGGGCUGUAUUCGGUCCCAAGGGUUUGGCUGUUCGCCAAUUAAAGCGGCACGCGAGCUGGGUUCAGAACGUCGUGAGACAGUUCGGUCCCUAUCCGUCGCGGGCGUAGGAAAUUUGAGAGGAUCUGCUCCUAGUACGAGAGGACCAGAGUGGACUUACCGCUGGUGUACCAGUUGUUCUGCCAAGAGCAUCGCUGGGUAGCUAUGUAGGGAAGGGAUAAACGCUGAAAGCAUCUAAGUGUGAAGCCCACCUCAAGAUGAGAUUUCCCAUGAUUUUAUAUCAGUAAGAGCCCUGAGAGAUGAUCAGGUUGAUAGGUUAGAAGUGGAAGUGUGGUGACACAUGUAGCGGACUAAUACUAAUAGCUCGAGGACUUAUCCAA